CACGCUGUAAACGAUGUCUACUGGCCGUUGGCCUCCUUGAGGGGUUAGUGGCGCAGCUAACGCGAUAAGUAGACCGCCUGGGGAGUACGGCCGCAAGGUUAAAACUCAAAUGAAUUGACGGGGGCCCGCACAAGCGGUGGAGCAUGUGGUUUAAUUCGACGCAACGCGAAGAACCUUACCUACUCUUGACAUCCUGUGAACCUUGUAGAGAUAUGAGGGUGCCUUCGGGAGCACAGAGACAGGUGC
RNAcentral lists this ribosomal RNA (246 nucleotides) under uncultured bacterium. Its description in RNAcentral is "partial 16S ribosomal RNA". It matches the Rfam family "Bacterial small subunit ribosomal RNA", at positions 796 to 1041 of the family's 1533-position model. The record is from RNAcentral.